This 758-nucleotide ribosomal RNA is filed under the name Rossellomorea marisflavi. RNAcentral describes it as "bacterial SSU rRNA". It matches the Rfam family "Bacterial small subunit ribosomal RNA", at positions 41 to 785 of the family's 1533-position model. Lineage: Bacteria; Bacillati; Bacillota; Bacilli; Caryophanales; Bacillaceae. The record is from RNAcentral.
GGGGGGCUAUAAUGCAGUCGAGCGGAUCGAUGGGAGCUUGCUCCCUGAGAUCAGCGGCGGACGGGUGAGUAACACGUGGGUAACCUGCCUGUAAGACUGGGAUAACUCCGGGAAACCGGGGCUAAUACCGGAUAACACCUACCCCCGCAUGGGGGAAGGUUGAAAGGUGGCUUCGGCUAUCACUUACAGAUGGACCCGCGGCGCAUUAGCUAGUUGGUGAGGUAACGGCUCACCAAGGCGACGAUGCGUAGCCGACCUGAGAGGGUGAUCGGCCACACUGGGACUGAGACACGGCCCAGACUCCUACGGGAGGCAGCAGUAGGGAAUCUUCCGCAAUGGACGAAAGUCUGACGGAGCAACGCCGCGUGAGUGAAGAAGGUUUUCGGAUCGUAAAACUCUGUUGUUAGGGAAGAACAAGUGCCGUUCGAAUAGGGCGGCACCUUGACGGUACCUAACCAGAAAGCCACGGCUAACUACGUGCCAGCAGCCGCGGUAAUACGUAGGUGGCAAGCGUUGUCCGGAAUUAUUGGGCGUAAAGCGCGCGCAGGUGGUUUCUUAAGUCUGAUGUGAAAGCCCACGGCUCAACCGUGGAGGGUCAUUGGAAACUGGGGAACUUGAGUGCAGAAGAGGAAAGUGGAAUUCCAAGUGUAGCGGUGAAAUGCGUAGAUAUUUGGAGGAACACCAGUGGCGAAGGCGACUUUCUGGUCUGUAACUGACACUGAGGCGCGAAAGCGUGGGGAGCAAACAGGAUUAGAUAC